AAUAGCUCAGUUGGUAGAGCACGACCUUGCCAAGGUCGGGGUCGCGAGUUCGAGUCUCGUUU
This 62-nucleotide transfer RNA is filed under the name Pseudomonas syringae. RNAcentral's name for it is "tRNA-Gly". It matches the Rfam family "tRNA", at positions 6 to 65 of the family's 71-position model. Rfam says of the family: Transfer RNA (tRNA) molecules are approximately 80 nucleotides in length. Lineage: Bacteria; Pseudomonadati; Pseudomonadota; Gammaproteobacteria; Pseudomonadales; Pseudomonadaceae. The record is from RNAcentral. RNAcentral also lists the same sequence under 58 other names.